UCAGACAAAUAUCAGAGCUAUUUCUUCACUGCUCUCUUGAUCCCAUGAGAUACUAUUCUGCAACAGGUCAAGAGGCCAGCCUCCCACGGGUAUCUUUCUCUAGUUUUAGAAUUUAUUCGGGGGGAUAACAAUCUCUGGGACCGAACUCCUGAGCAUCGAACCACGGACUAUUCCAAGAAGAAAUCAUUUCAAGGCGAAUAAAGACUCAACUCAAGCUGAAAACAGUCCCCUUAGUAUAUCAGAGGGGACCUUUAGGCAAGUGGCAUCUUGCCAGCGAAUCGACUCUAAACAAAUCUGUAGCAGCCCGGAGGUGCUGGAGGGGAGUUUCAGAAACAGUCGGCGCUGGGAGGACAGUGCAACAGUUGACAGGAAUUGCCUCACUCCCACUUGGAGGCUCAUCGUCUGCAGAUCUCUCUGCUCAUCUCUGCAGCUUCAAAACAGCACGCAGGAAUCAGAGACGGUUACAUCAGGAGAUCAGGAGAUCAGGAGACCCUGGAGACAUUCUAGUCCAUCUCUUUGAUUGCGCAGCCGAGGAAUCCGAGGCACAGAGAAAUGAAAGGAUUUGCCCCAAGCCACACAGUGGAGAACUGUGAACAGAGCCUGGAUCUCUCGUUCAAGUAUUUCCAGGCCCUGGUCACUUAUGUAUCAGCUAAGCAGGAGACGUGGCGACACGCGGCUUUGCUUCCCUGCUGAUUGAACUCUAUUCCUGGUGCAGAGCUCGAGCAUCAAUCAACAAACAGUAGGAAGAGAGACGUGGCCCCAGCGUACGGGAGCGGCACGUGAUGGGCCCUUGCAGACUUGGGCACCUGGGAAUACAGACCUCCAGCUUCCCUGACACGUAGGCAUGGGCCUCAGACAUUUUCAGGUGUGCAACGUAGUGAUUCGGCUCUCCCUUCAGGGUUUUAAAAUCACUCUGGGGCUCCAGGCAUCACAGCCUCAUGAGGCCUUGUCUCCAGCAAGAAGAGCGGAGUGUUCCCAGCCGGUCUCUUCGUUUAUCAAGGAGGCCCUGGUUUCGCAGAGGUUCUCAACAGAAGCCACGGCAAGUCCCAGGAGUAAGGACUGGGUCACCUGCCUGUGCUCGAGCCCCAAACAAGGCUGGUAAUUUGCUAGUCUCUGCAGCAGGACGUGGGGGGCCGAUGCCGAGAGGGAGAACGACUGCGAGGUGGGACCUCACUCUGGAACGUCUUGCUGUGGAUUCCACAGGCGUGAGUACCACUGAGGAGCCCUGUGUUGCCAGGCUGCCACAAAGGCAAAUGUGACGGCAUGGAUGGAAGAAAAGAUAUUUAACUUGUGUGUGUGUGUGUGUGUGUGCGUGCACACACACACAAAAUCAUCAAACAUAAUGUUGAACGACUAUGGUCGCGAGACAUGAGCUCUUUAAGGAUAAUGUGGGAUAAUCGAGUUGUCUUUCAUUCAUUCAACUGACACCUGACUCAUCUUUUCUGUGACAGACUUCUCCAUCAAGGGCUGAAGUUACAAAUAUGAGUAAAAAAAGUCUCUGGUGUCGGGUGCCUGGGUGGCUCCGUUGGUUAAGCGACUGCCUUCAGCUCAGGUCAUGAUCCUGGACUCCCUGGAUCGAGUCCUGCAUCGGGCUCCCUGCUUGGCAGGGAGUCUGCUUCUCCCUCUGACCCUCCUCCCUCUCAUGCUCUCUGUCUCUCAUUCUCUCUCUCUCAAAUAAAUAAAAUCUUAAAAAAAAAAAAAAAGUCUCUGGUGUCAAAGAGAUCCUGGAUAAUCACGAGAGAGACAAUCUAGUGAAGACACAGUGUUGCUCUGAGGCAGACAUAAGAUACUGGGGUGAUGCACAGGGGUGCUUUAUGAAACCCAGUGGCUCCCAGUAUCAGGAGCCAGGACUGGCCGGUGGUCUCUCACUUUCCUAGCUCAUAGUUUCUUCCCUCCGUACCUUCUCUCUUUCUCCUCUCUGCCCGCGUGACUGCAGUCAGACGCCCUACAACCGAUGGGCUCCCCCGCAGUUGC
Molecule: long non-coding RNA, 1974 nt
Organism: Mirounga angustirostris (Northern elephant seal)
Lineage: Eukaryota; Metazoa; Chordata; Mammalia; Carnivora; Phocidae
Exons: 3
Source: RefSeq, a predicted model, not a curated record